RNAcentral lists this ribosomal RNA (436 nucleotides) under Vibrio pectenicida. RNAcentral's name for it is "bacterial SSU rRNA". It matches the Rfam family "Bacterial small subunit ribosomal RNA", at positions 122 to 538 of the family's 1533-position model. Lineage: Bacteria; Pseudomonadati; Pseudomonadota; Gammaproteobacteria; Vibrionales; Vibrionaceae. The record is from RNAcentral.
GAAAUUGCCUUGAUGUGGGGGAUAACCAUUGGAAACGAUGGCUAAUACCGCAUAAUGCUUUUGUUUGUAAUGAACGGGAGCCAAAGAGGGGGACCUUCGGGCCUCUCGCGUCAAGAUAUGCCCAGGUGGGAUUAGCUAGUUGGUGAGGUAAUGGCUCACCAAGGCGACGAUCCCUAGCUGGUCUGAGAGGAUGAUCAGCCACACUGGAACUGAGACACGGUCCAGACUCCUACGGGAGGCAGCAGUGGGGAAUAUUGCACAAUGGGCGCAAGCCUGAUGCAGCCAUGCCGCGUGUAUGAAGAAGGCCUUCGGGUUGUAAAGUACUUUCAGCAGUGAGGAAGGUGGAUGUGUUAAUAGCGCAUUCAUUUGACGUUAGCUGCAGAAGAAGCACCGGCUAACUCCGUGCCAGCAGCCGCGGUAAUACGGAGGGUGCGAG